AAAAAAAAAAAUUGGAACGAUAUAGAGAAAAUUAGCAUGGCCCCUGCGCAAGGAUGACAUGCAAAUUCGUGAAGCAUUCCAUAAAAAA
This 88-nucleotide small nuclear RNA is filed under the name Myotis davidii. The record is from RNAcentral. Lineage: Eukaryota; Metazoa; Chordata; Mammalia; Chiroptera; Vespertilionidae.